This 253-nucleotide ribosomal RNA is filed under the name uncultured bacterium. Its description in RNAcentral is "partial 16S ribosomal RNA". It matches the Rfam family "Bacterial small subunit ribosomal RNA", at positions 524 to 776 of the family's 1533-position model. The record is from RNAcentral.
UACAGAGGGUGCAAGCGUUAAUCGGAAUUACUGGGCGUAAAGCGUGCGCAGGCGGUUUUGUAAGCCAGAUGUGAAAUCCCCGGGCUUAACCUGGGAAUGGCAUUUGGGACUGCAAGGCUGGAGGUUGGCAGAGGAGACUGGAAUUCCUGGUGUAGCAGUGAAAUGCGUAGAUAUCCGGAGGAACACCGGUGGCGAAGGCGGCAGCCUGGACCGGCAUUGACGCUGAUGAGCGAAAGCUAGGGGAGCAAACGGG